AUGAGUCAAGGAACAGGGCUGUCUCCAGAAGCCAGAACAAAUAAAUGGAUUUUCCUUUUGACCUACAGAAGGGAUAUAGUCCUGUCCACACCUUGAUUUUAGGCUAAUGAGACUGAUGACUCACAGAACUAUAAGAUUUUACAGCAUAGUGAGGGAUACUGACAAGAAAACUCAUGUAUCUAUCAAAAUAUGUUCCAAGAAGAUGAUGGGAGCUCAAAAUAGACACAUGACAGGAUGAUACUUCUGUGGUUUUGUUUUUCAAGUGAUAUAUGACCAUAAUAUUUGUGAUUAAAAGUGAACUCGUGGAGGUCACCUCUGAAUGAGAAAUAUAAGAUCUAGUGUAUUAUUUAUGAUGUUUUUCUUCCCUCUUUUGAGUGUGUCAUUAUUAGCUCUGUCAACCUACAUCCUUGAGGUCAAGAAAUUCUCCACUGUUAGGUUCUCUGGGCUUUCACCUGUCUCCUCCUUGAGCCUAGACAUGGCCCACAGAGUUCACUACUUUCCUUCUCUGCCUGAAUAAUGGGGCAACUUCUGAAAAGAAUUAGAAAAUAAGAAGGAAAGAUGUCCAGCUCUGCCUACAACCCAACAUCCCUUGCAUCUCACAAAAGGAUAUACUUAAAACCCAAGGCAUUCAGAAGAAGAAAAUCUCCAGUGGAUGCCCCUUUACUCUUUACUUUGCUCCCUGACCUUCAGGAUUAUGCAAGCUCCCUUCUUCAGGUUACUCUGUUAAAAAAAAAAAAAAUAA
This is a long non-coding RNA of Symphalangus syndactylus (siamang), 742 nucleotides long. RefSeq lists it as uncharacterized. NCBI's taxonomy places the organism in Eukaryota, Metazoa, Chordata, Mammalia, Primates, Hylobatidae. The record is from RefSeq and is a predicted model, not a curated record.